RNAcentral lists this unclassified non-coding RNA (323 nucleotides) under uncultured Metarhizium. Its description in RNAcentral is "sequence contains ITS1". The stretch from base 1 to 105 matches the Rfam family "5.8S ribosomal RNA", at positions 50 to 154 of the family's 154-position model. Lineage: Eukaryota; Fungi; Ascomycota; Sordariomycetes; Hypocreales; Clavicipitaceae. The record is from RNAcentral.
UAAGUACGUUAACCGGGUUGAUGUGCAUAAUAGCGCUGAUGCCUUGGUCUUUGAACGCACAUUGCGCCCGUCAGUAUUCUGGCGGGCAUGCCUGUUCGAGCGUCAUUACGCCCCUCAAGUCCCCUGUGGACUUGGUGUUGGGGAUCGGCGAGGCUGGUUUUCCAGCACAGCCGUCCCUUAAAUUAAUUGGCGGUCUCGCCGUGGCCCUCCUCUGCGCAGUAGUAAAACACUCGCAACAGGAGCCCGGCGCGGUCCACUGCCGUAAAACCCCCCAACUUUUUAUAGUUGACCUCGAAUCAGGUAGGACUACCCGCUGAACUUAA